This is a long non-coding RNA of Papaver somniferum (opium poppy), 1459 nucleotides long. RefSeq lists it as uncharacterized. NCBI's taxonomy places the organism in Eukaryota, Viridiplantae, Streptophyta, Magnoliopsida, Ranunculales, Papaveraceae. The record is from RefSeq and is a predicted model, not a curated record. The transcript is spliced from 4 exons.
AAAACAAAUACCAAAGUUGAUUGGAUUUCCUAAUUCGUCUUCUUUAUAUAAGAAACCUGGUGGUUAUCUCCCUUUUCUCAUGAGAUCGUGUCUGUUGAUUUUUUUCAGGUUUUUUUACAGGGUCGAUGCAGAAUCAGAAAGAUGUGCAUCUUUUUAGGGUUGUUGUAGCCGGAUUCAUGCAUUCAAACGAUUAGAUAUUAUAAAACUUAUUAGUUUUUUUGGUUUGUAAUUUGAUUAAUUUCUUAAGAUUUAGUUUCACGGACUUCAAUUGGAUUUAGUUUUUUUUGUCUGAUUUUUGUUUGUGGUUUGAUUUAAGUUUUGUGGUUUGUUCUUUUGUUUUAGAUUUAUCCCUUACUUAUUCGUCGCAGGAAUUGAUGAGAGCUUCUGUCUUCAUCACCAGCCGUAUUGUCUUUGUUGUGCUAUUGUUGAUCAUCUAACAAUAUACACAUUAGAAUUGUCGCCACAGAUCGAAGUUAACGCCAGUGUUAUCUACGAUAUCAUUUAUUUACUGUGAGGCAAUUGCUAUUGCUUAGCUCGGUCCCAAAAGAGGGCUAUGAUGGUGCAAAUGGGGUGCUGGAUGAAGCUGUUUUGCUGGUGACAGUGGUCUUAGCUUAAUCAACAGCUCAUCCGUAAGAGUCUGUACAGUGUGAUAGUAGAUGUCUAUUAGCGAACCAUACAUGUUAUGUCAAAUAUUCGAUAAUUAAAGAAUCCUUGGCGAAAAAGCUGAAUAAAAAUGUUACAUUCUAGAGAUUGGAAAUGGGCAAAGCUUAAUGAUUUCACAGAAGGCAGACUCAUUUACGUCUGAAGCAAGAACGGGGUGAUAGAGCGAAGGGCAUGGGAAAGAAUUCUGAUGAGGUUAUCGAGCUCCAAUGAUCAAGGUCAUCUCUCAACUGAGAAUUAAGGAACUCAACAUGUGCAUGACGCCCAAAAUGUCCUGAGGAAGGCAUUAACAUCAUGGAAAAUUCCAGUUUACAACUCUUAUCAGAGCUAAUGUUCUUUUCAAACUAUAUUAAGAAUUGUGCUUGCUAUUUUAGCUCAAAUGGAAGAGCACAUGGUUCUCAACCAUGUAGUGUGUGUUCGACUCCCACAGAUGGAUUUCUGAUUAACUUUUGUAGGCUAAAACAACCUUUUCAAGAAUGUUUGCCAGUAACACGCUUGCAGGUCUCCGAUCAAUAAGGAUGCUCAACAAGGAACAACACUUUUUUGCCGCAACUUCUUGAGGAACUUUCCUCCUCUUCGGAUGAGAGAUGUUGCAAGGCCUACUCUGAGGUUAAUGCAUGGGGACUGGUAUUUUUAGCACCUCCCUAUUAUUAUGCUGCUGAGCAGAAAUGUCUUAUAUGUUCUACAGUUCAGCAUACUAUUCUUUUUUAAAAUUAUGUCUUAUAUGUACUACACAGUUCACAAUGUCUUAUCAGCAUGUUUUCCCUCUGUAAUUAACAUGAGUUCGCGAGAUAAUAGC